AUUGAACGCUGGCGGCAGGCUUAACACAUGCAAGUCGAGCGGGGUGAUGGUGCUUGCACUAUCACUUAGCGGCGGACGGGUGAGUAAUGCUUAGGAAUCUGCCUAUUAGUGGGGGACAACAUCUCGAAAGGGAUGCUAAUACCGCAUACGUCCUACGGGAGAAAUCAGGGGAUCACUUGUGACCUUGCGCAUAUAGAUGAGACUAAGGCGGAUUAGCUAGUUGGUGGGGUAAAGGCCUACCAAGGCGACGAUCCGUAGCGGGUCGGAGAGGAUGAUCCGCCACACUGGGACUGAGACACGGCCCAGACUCCUACGGGAGGCAGCAGUGGGGAAUAUUGGACAAUGGGGGGAACCCUGAUCCAGCCAUGCCGCGUGUGUGAAGAAGGCCUUAUGGUUGUAAAGCACUUUAAGCGAGGAGGAGGCUCUUUUGGUUAAUACCCAAGAUGAGUGGACGUUACUCGCAGAAUAAGCACCGGCUAACUCUGUGCCAGCCGCCGCAGUAA
This 503-nucleotide ribosomal RNA is filed under the name uncultured bacterium. Its description in RNAcentral is "partial 16S ribosomal RNA". It matches the Rfam family "Bacterial small subunit ribosomal RNA", at positions 30 to 523 of the family's 1533-position model. The record is from RNAcentral.